AGUUUGCCAUGAUGAAAUGCAUGUUAAGUCCGUGUUUCAGCUGAUCAGUGUGAUUAAACACAUGCUCUGGGCAGACU
This 77-nucleotide small nucleolar RNA is filed under the name Microcebus murinus (gray mouse lemur). RNAcentral's name for it is "Small nucleolar RNA SNORD126 (ENSMICG00000026059.3)". It matches the Rfam family "Small nucleolar RNA SNORD126". The record is from Rfam by way of RNAcentral. Lineage: Eukaryota; Metazoa; Chordata; Mammalia; Primates; Cheirogaleidae.